Drosophila melanogaster (fruit fly) is the source of this 445-nucleotide non-coding RNA. It matches the Rfam family "Arthropod 7SK RNA". Lineage: Eukaryota; Metazoa; Arthropoda; Insecta; Diptera; Drosophilidae. The record is from Rfam.
GGAAGUGUAUUCUGUGAUUGUUCUGUACAUUGAUCGAUAUUCAGGUAACUGCAUCUGCUUAUCAGAUCUGUUCAGAGCCGACCCUCCGUCACACCUUUGUGUUUCCCAGUAAUUCUGCCUGGCGUUGCCGUGGCUCCUCGUUCGGAUCGGCUUUCCGCUGCCUUCCACUGGAUGACGACGGGUUAUCCGGCGGUCGACGCACGGUCAUGCACCCCCGAUCCGUCGCCCCCACCACCCCGCGGAUUCUGGUCUCGACCGGAAGCCGUAUUGGGCGGGGACGGGCGGCGGUCCGGUGCUGAAGCCGGCGACAGUUGCCCGAGUCAGCCACUUUCAAAAUUUGUUGGUUAAGUAACUUAGUAGCUUAGCUUCGGAUUUUCGUAACAAAUUUGCUGUUCAGAACACUUCCAUGUACGCGGCAUUGCCGAGCAAUUUGCCCAUUCUUUUG